UGGGUGCGACCUUUUGCUACUAGCUA
This 26-nucleotide non-coding RNA is filed under the name Homo sapiens (human). The record is from RNAcentral. Lineage: Eukaryota; Metazoa; Chordata; Mammalia; Primates; Hominidae.